GGACUACCCGGGUUUCUAAUCCUGUUUGCUCCCCACGCUCUCGCGCCUCAGCGUCAGUAUCUGUCCAGGUAGCCGCCUUCGCCACUGGUGUUCCUUCCGAUCUCUACGCAUUUCACCGCUACACCGGAAAUUCCACUACCCUCUACAGUACUCCAGUCUUACAGUUUUGGUUGCAGUUCCCAGGUUAAGCCCGGGGAUUUCACAACCAACUUAUAAGACCGCCUACGCGCCCUUUACGCCCAGUAACUCCGAUUAACGCUUGCACCCUCUGUAUUACCGCGGCUGCUGGCAC
Molecule: ribosomal RNA, 292 nt
Filed under: uncultured bacterium
Lineage: Bacteria
Description: partial 16S ribosomal RNA
Source: RNAcentral